This 499-nucleotide ribosomal RNA is filed under the name uncultured bacterium. RNAcentral's name for it is "partial 16S ribosomal RNA". It matches the Rfam family "Bacterial small subunit ribosomal RNA", at positions 28 to 507 of the family's 1533-position model. The record is from RNAcentral.
GACGAACGCUGGCGGCGUGCCUAAUACAUGCAAGUCGAGCGAAGUUUUUCUGGUUCUUGCACUAGAAAAACUUAGCGGCGAACGGGUGAGUAACACGUAAAGAACCUGCCUCAUAGACUGGGACAACUAUUGGAAACGAUAGCUAAUACCGGAUAACAGCAUUAACUGCAUGGUUGAUGUUUAAAAGUUUGUUUUGCUAACACUAUGAGAUGGCUUUGCGGUGCAUUAGCUAGUUGGUGGGGUAAAGGCCUACCAAGGCGACGAUGCAUAGCCGACCUGAGAGGGUGAUCGGCCACACUGGGACUGAGACACGGCCCAGACUCCUACGGGAGGCAGCAGUAGGGAAUCUUCCGCAAUGGGCGAAAGCCUGACGGAGCAACGCCGCGUGAGUGAAGAAGGAUUUCGGUUCGUAAAGCUCUGUUGUUAGGGAAGAAUGAUUGUGUAGUAACUAUACACAGUAGAGACGGUACCUAACCAGAAAGCCACGGCUAACUACGUG